CCUUUACAAUGCUGCUUCAGCCUGAACCAAUUUCCCAAAUGAAGGAUUUAAGGCCACCUCUUGGAGUUACAGGGAUAAAGGCAGCCUUAACCUCCAGGGAAGGAGACCCUUUCCCCUUGGGCACGAUAUCCUAGGGCUGGUACCCAUUUGCAGGUCCAGGUGGUGGAGUCCGGAGGGGGAGUUCAGGUGUCCAGAGGAUCUCUCUGCCUCCCUCACCUGCCAAACCUCUGGGUUCAACUUCAUUGCCUAGUAGAUGGAGUGGUUCUGGCUCUCCCCAGCCACGGGGCUGCAGUGGGUGGCAGAGAUACGCAAAGCUGCCAACAACCAUGCCACCGACUACAGUGAUAUGGUGAAAGGGUGGUUCACCAUCUCCAGGGAUGACUCCAGCAGCCUGCUGUACCUGCAGACGAAUGGCCUGAAGGCAGAAGACACAGCCCUGUAUUACUGUACCAGACACACAACAAUCAGAGAUGUAUUAGAGUCUCUAUGAAAACCUCUCCAAACGCUCCCUCCCUCCUGGUGAUGCCACAGAGCAGCAGUCAUUGAGAUAACGGAUCAGUCCAGGCCCAGUACUCCUGGAUUUCAAGUUCUCCAGGCCUUGCACCACCUGUUUGUGUCUUCAUGGCCCCAAUCCCAGGUCAUCCUGGCCCCAUCUGGAGCAGAAAUAAAGCAGCCCAGGGUUUCCACUAGUCAAUCCAGUAUAACAUGCCUGCACCCCCAGCUUGCCCAGAGGUAUUCAAUAGGAUCCUCCAGCUUUGGGCUGCUCUCACGCAAAUAGAAAUAUGCUGUGUUUGGAUUGCCAGCAGUAAAGUAACUGUUGGUGAGCAAAACAGCUGUUCCAGCAAUGGACUGUC
Long non-coding RNA from Alligator sinensis (Chinese alligator), 854 nucleotides. RefSeq lists it as uncharacterized. The transcript is spliced from 3 exons. The record is from RefSeq and is a predicted model, not a curated record. Lineage: Eukaryota; Metazoa; Chordata; Crocodylia; Alligatoridae.